GACGAACGCUGGCGGCGUGCUUAACACAUGCAAGUCGAACGGAAAGGCCCUGCUUGCAGGGUACUCGAGUGGCGAACGGGUGAGUAACACGUGGGUGAUCUGCCCUGCACUUCGGGAUAAGCCUGGGAAACUGGGUCUAAUACCGGAUAGGAGCCAUUUUUAGUGUGAUGGUUGGAAAGUUUUUUCGGUGUAGGAUGAGCUCGCGGCCUAUCAGCUUGUUGGUGGGGUAAUGGCCUACCAAGGCGGCGACGGGUAGCCGGCCUGAGAGGGUGGACGGCCAAAUUGGACCUGGGUUCCGCCCAGGCUCCUACGGGGGGCCACAGGGGGGAAUAUUGCAAAAUGGGCGCAAGCCUGAUGCAGCGACGCCGCGUGGGGGAUGACGGCCUUCGGGUUGUAAACUCCUUUCGCUAGGGACGAAGCUUUUUGUGACGGUACCUAGAUAAGAAGCACCGGCUAACUACGUG
Molecule: ribosomal RNA, 464 nt
Filed under: uncultured bacterium
Lineage: Bacteria
Description: partial 16S ribosomal RNA
Rfam family: Bacterial small subunit ribosomal RNA
Source: RNAcentral